Molecule: unclassified non-coding RNA, 206 nt
Filed under: uncultured Rhodosporidiobolus
Lineage: Eukaryota; Fungi; Basidiomycota; Microbotryomycetes; Sporidiobolales; Sporidiobolaceae
Description: sequence contains ITS2
Source: RNAcentral
ACUCUUCAACCCUCCCUUUUCUCAGUGACUAGAGAGGUGCUUGGAUUCUGAGUGUUGCCCCUUACCCGGGCUCAUUCGUAAUGCAUUAGCAUCCCAUUCGAAUUUCGGAUUGACUUGGCGUAAUAGACUAUUCGCUGAGGAUUCUACUCUCGCAGUAGAGCCGGGUUCGAGAGGAAGCUACUAAUCUAGCUUAGUCUACCUUUAAG